RNAcentral lists this ribosomal RNA (1309 nucleotides) under uncultured bacterium. RNAcentral's name for it is "16S ribosomal RNA". It matches the Rfam family "Bacterial small subunit ribosomal RNA", at positions 95 to 1421 of the family's 1533-position model. The record is from RNAcentral.
GUGGCGGACUGGUGAGUAASACGUAWACUACCUGCCUAUCACAGGGGAACWACAGUUACAARUGASUGCUAAUACCGCAUAUGCCUUAAUUACUACAUGGUAGUAGAGGGAAAGGAGCAAUCCGCUGAUAGAUGGGCUUGCGUCUGAUUAGAUAGUUGGUGGGGUAAUGGCCUACCAAGUCGACGAUCAGUAGCCGGACUGAGAGGUUGAACGGCCACAUUGGGACUGAGAUACGGCCCAGACUCCUACGGGAGGCAGCAGUCGGGAAUAUUGCGCAAUGGAGGAAACUCUGACGCAGUGACGCCGCGUGCAGGAAGAAGGUUUUCGGAUUGUAAACUGCUUUAGACAGGGAAGAAAGUGACAGUACCUGUAGAAUAAGCUCCGGCUAACUACGUGCCAGCAGCCGCGGUAAUACGUAGGGAGCAAGCGUUAUCCGGAUUUAUUGGGUGUAAAGGGUGCGUAGACGGGAAAACAAGUUAGUUGUGAAAUCCCUCGGCUUAACUGAGGAACUGCAACUAAAACUAUUUUUCUUGAGUGCUGGAGAGGAAAGUGGAAUUCCUAGUGUAGCGGUGAAAUGCGUAGAUAUUAGGAGGAACACCAGUGGCGAAGGCGACUUUCUGGACAGUAACUGACGUUGAGGCACGAAAGUGUGGGGAGCAAACAGGAUUAGAUACCCUGGUAGUCCACACUGUAAACGAUGGAUACUAGGUGUAGGGGAUGAAUAAUCUUCUGUGCCGUCGCAAACGCAGUAAGUAUCCCACCUGGGGAGUACGGCCGCAAGGUUGAAACUCAAAGGAAUUGACGGGGGCCCGCACAAGCAGUGGAGUAUGUGGUUUAAUUCGACGCAACGCGAAGAACCUUACCAGGGCUUGACAUAUACAGGAAUACUUAAGAGAUUAAGUAGCUCUUCGGAGUCUGUAUACAGGUGGUGCAUGGUUGUCGUCAGCUCGUGUCGUGAGAUGUUGGGUUAAGUCCCGCAACGAGCGCAACCCCUGUUCUUAGUUGCCAGCAUGUAAAGAUGGGAACUCUAAGAAGACUGCCGGUGAUAAAUCGGAGGAAGGUGGGGACGACGUCAAAUCAUCAUGCCCUAUAUGUCCUGGGCUACACACGUACUACAAUGGCUGUAACAAAGGGAAGCAAAGCCGCGAGGUGGAGCAAAACCCAAAAAAGCAGUCUCAGUUCGGAUUGAAGUAKGAAAUUCCCMUUCAUGACGCCGGAAUUGCUAGUAMUGGCAGGUCACCAUACUGCCGUGAAUCCGUUCCCGGKCCUCGUACACACCSCCCGUCACACCAUGAGAGUUGGGAAUACC